AUUGAACGCUGGCGGCAUGCUUUACACAUGCAAGUCGAACGGCAGCGCGGGCUUCGGCCUGGCGGCGCGUGGCGAACGGGUGAGUAAUACAUCGGAACGUGCCCAGUAGGGGGGGAUAGCUCGGCGAAAGCCGGAUUAAUACCGCAUACGACCUGCGGGUGAAAGCGGGGGGUCUUCGGACCUCUCGCUCUUGUAGCGGCCGAUGGCAGAUUAGCUAGUUGGUGGGGUAAAGGCCUACCAAGGCGACGAUCUGUAGCUGGUCUGAGAGGACGACCAGCCACACUGGGACUGAGACACGGCCCAGACUCCUACGGGAGGCAGCAGUGGGGAAUUUUGGGCAAUGGGCGAAAGCCUGAUCCAGCAAUGCCGCGUGUGUGAUGAAGGCCUUCGGGUUGUAAAGCACUUUUGGCGGGAACGAAAAGGACUGUGCCAAUACCACGGUUCGAUGACGGUACCCGCAGAAUAAGCACCGGCUAACUACGUG
This 484-nucleotide ribosomal RNA is filed under the name uncultured bacterium. RNAcentral's name for it is "partial 16S ribosomal RNA". It matches the Rfam family "Bacterial small subunit ribosomal RNA", at positions 28 to 507 of the family's 1533-position model. The record is from RNAcentral.